UGUUCCGGCGCCUCUUGAGCCCCUCGAUGUAUCGCUGCAGCUGCUUGGUCAGGAAGUGGUUCCGGCCGAUCUCCGAUCGGUAACCUGGAGGGCAGAACCCAACUCAGGGCGGUGAGCAAGGGCAUGGCCUCCGCAGCAGCUGGUCUUUGUUCUUUGGCGAACUUUGGAUCUCCAGGGUACUGGGACCUGCCUGUUUUGUUUGUUUCGAAUGGUCAAGCCAUAGACCUGUGCUCCAAACAGAUGGGGGAUUCAGAGUAGGAUGGGGGUGUUGGAGUGGAGGAUGGUUGAGGAAGGCAAGUUUAGAGAAGAUGUUGCCGGCCUGAGCUCGGGCACUGGGAGCAGACUGCUUUGGGGACACCGCUUCGACCACCCAGUCUCAGCCAUUAGCCCUCCCCACCCCACCCCCACAUUCAUAAGUAGGCUCGAUGGGGUGUGUGCUUCAAGAUAUUGAGCGAUGACACUGAGGAAGACUCUUCUGGGAGAAGAGAAAAAAGGGAUCAGUCAUUUGCAGACUGCUGAGACUUCCCUGGAGCAGAGGAGAUGUAUGGCAAUAGAAACUGAGGCCCUGGCCAUCCCCCUGCCCUGUGGGCGCCCACAGCCCCGUGAAGCCACACUGACCGUUGUCGGUCUUGGAAUCGUCCUCCUCUAAAGGGCCUCCCAGGCAGCUGCCGCGGCGCAUCUCCAGCUCCAUCAAGGCGUGC
Molecule: long non-coding RNA, 701 nt
Organism: Physeter macrocephalus (sperm whale)
Lineage: Eukaryota; Metazoa; Chordata; Mammalia; Artiodactyla; Physeteridae
Exons: 3
Source: RefSeq, a predicted model, not a curated record